GCGCACUUAGCUUAGUGGUUAAAAGCAUAACUCAUGAAUUUUGGGGUCACAGGUUCAAUUCCUGUAGUGCACA
Puccinia graminis f. sp. tritici is the source of this 73-nucleotide transfer RNA. It matches the Rfam family "tRNA". From Rfam's summary of the family: Transfer RNA (tRNA) molecules are approximately 80 nucleotides in length. The record is from Rfam. NCBI's taxonomy places the organism in Eukaryota, Fungi, Basidiomycota, Pucciniomycetes, Pucciniales, Pucciniaceae.